Molecule: long non-coding RNA, 3464 nt
Organism: Oxyura jamaicensis (ruddy duck)
Lineage: Eukaryota; Metazoa; Chordata; Aves; Anseriformes; Anatidae
Exons: 2
Source: RefSeq, a predicted model, not a curated record
GAAGCCUAGAGGAUUUUUAUUUUUUUUUUUAACAAUGGCUAUUUCUAGAUUGAUGUACGUGCAAGAAUGUACUUCCACUGCGACUACAGCAUGUGAAACAAGGUCUGUAUGGGAUAUAGGGCAAGUUCUACCCAGCUAGAAUUUCAAUUUCCAACGUUGCUAUUAAUUGCUCGCUAAAAAUCUUGUAAGAGUUAACCAAGGAUGGUAGCUCUCCACCCAAACUGCAGUGCAUUCUCUCAUCCAGAAUACAUGUAUGGUACACGGGGAAGAAGUUCCCCUUUUUGGUCACCAAGCUGUAUGGCACCAGGAGCACGUGGGCUUGAUGUGUGAUCAAGCAGCGGAUGAAGACGCCUUUGGAUCUGGUGAUCGACCCUCUGAUAGCAUGUGACAGGUCUUGUCAUACCGACAGCAACAUGCUUCAAUCAAAACCAAGAGAAGGUUUUGAGCUGUGAAAGUGUUGUUAAGCAGCUGCCUGGCUACGAGUUACCAGUUCACUAUGGAUUUUAAACGAUACAGAAAUGUAUCUUGCAGGGAAGACACCUAUUAUGGUUUUACAGAUUGCGGUUGGACUUGCAAACACCAGUCUCAUCUAGAAGACAUAAAGGCUUCUCUUCUUCUGAAUUUGAGAGGAAAUGUGUUUCAAGACUUGAUUUGGAAAUACAGGAACUGGUAUCAGAAAAGGUCCCUUCUCUCUGAAUUCCUGCAUGAGGUAAGGAGAAAGAAGCUUCUGAAUUUGCUUUUAAGGCAAGAAGGAGAACUCACAGGAGAGCCACCAUUAUCGCCGCCCCAUCUCCAACUGACGACUGAAAUUCCAUUUCCAUUUCUUGUUAAUAAUAAAUACCAGCGAGGCCAGAGCCAUUCUCAUUCUGACCCCUGGCUGUAUUCCCACUACUUAAUGUCACGGCGGCGCCAUGCACAGAGCAUGCACAAAGGUCUCAACUCUGCAGAGCCCAGCCAGGCUCAGAGGUGGCUGCUGCCGACCCUCCUGGGCUGCCUCCAGUCCUCCUGCGCAGGCUGCAGGUACCCGUGCCAGUGUUUGCUCUGCAGAAAGCAACUGGAACAUGACAGGAUCCUUAAUGGCUAUUAACACAGCUUAACAAAGCCAAAGCGUGUUAUCUUAGAGCUACAUCCCCCGUCCGCCCGCUUCAGCUUUCUCCUAACUUGUAAUAUAAUGAAUGCUUGGCAUGAACCACGAGCGAAUACUGCUGUUUGCACUAUUUUUAAAGCUAGCUCAGUACAAAGAUCUGUGUCAUCAUCUGCAUGUGUCUGUCUACCUGCGUUUGUCUUUCCUCAUCUACACAUCUUUUUACAUGUAACCGUAGCACAGGGUGCCAGCCUCGGGGUGGGGGAAAAGCCCCAUCCUGUUCUAAAAUUAUCCGCUUCGUUAAGACUUGUCUUUCUCUACUUAGAACACAUUUUGACAAAGAGGGACGGCUGCUCCUUUAGCAUUCACAUUUGCCAUAUUAACGAUGACAACUUCUCACAACCCAGCGGAGCACGGAGCUUUGUUCUGGGUAGCAGCCCACAGGAACUAACAACUCCGUACCCUUCGUUCCUUCUUCAAGUUCCCAGUGCCCACAGGAAUAACAUUAAAAGACUCUCAGAAAACACAGCUUUGCCUCUCUACAGACUUUUUUCCUUUAAAAUCAAGCCUGCACUUCUCCUUCUUGGGACCUGCAGCUGGGACAAGAGUUCAGCCUGCCUGGGCUCCUGUCCCAACAAGAGGCAGUGUCAGUUUUGUUACUGGUUUCUUUUUUCCUUGCUCUAAACUCUUCCUGAAUCUUCCCCUUCUACCUCACAUCCUUUCCCAUCUGCUUUCCUCCCUGUCUAAAUAUUAUUUCAUUGCUUACAUUUUACCUGCAUCAGUAUUUUCCUUUCUGUGAGGGACUUUUCCCCUAUAUUCCACUUCAAAACCUCUGCCCUGCCGACUAUCAGGCCCCGCUCCCUCCACCACCUUGCUCCUGACCCUCUCCCCAGUGCAGCCGUCUUCUCCGUUGCCAUUCCUCACCUUCCUCCUCUGCUCUCUCCCUUCUGCCCUGACUGCUCAGGGCUCUCUCCCUCGUCCCCAGAGCAGCCACCCGCAGGGAUGUCCCCGUCCCCUUCCCCCUCGCCCAGCACCAUUCCCAUAAGCAGGAAAUACAGACGGCAGCUAAGGGGCCUUAUACAUGUGUUUCAAAAGCUUGAUAUACAUAAAUAAAAGCAAGUUGGUGACUAAUUUAUUUUCUCAGUAUCUAUUAAACACAGCAUAAAUUGCCCUGGACAUACUCAGGCUGGAAAUGAGAAGAAGGUUUAUAACCACCAGAAGAAAGACAGCCUCUCAGUAGGAGUAGUGAGGGCAAGAAACCUAAAUGGUUUCAAGAUGCAACUAGAUAAGCGUUUGAAAGGCAUCAUAUGAUGUGGUUGCCUUCAACAGCAGGGGACAGGACUUGAUGACUUAGGAAGUUCCUUUCAGUAUUAAUUCUUAUCUUCCUGUGUGGGCCCAACGUCACCCAUGGCAGCCCCUGUGCACUGGGGACAGGAGGUAUGGCGAAGGUUGCUGCUGGCCUUACAAACCAGGGGCAAAGGAACUGGUAAAGAGCUCUAAAGUAUGUUUUAAAAGGAUGGUCAAGCAUUCAGGCUGCUCGUGUGUGAGCGUAACACGCUCCAAUGCCCUCUCUGCUUUUUUCCCAUGCAGAACAGGAGAGCAGCUAGGAUCCUUUUUGUCCAAUUUCUGAAAAGCCUCCUGCCUUUGGCUGGGAACACUCAGGCUCAGCAGCAGCCGAGGGGGUGUUUGCUGUGUGUGCACGGUUUCAGAGCAAUCAACACGCUAAAUUACAAAGUAAAAUUAAGCUAAAAAGCAAAAUCCAACAUCACCCACAGGGUUCAGCCAUACUCUUACUGGUACAGAGGCUGCAGAAGGAGGGCCCACAGCGACAGCCUGGGCACGAGCUCGCCAUCACCUGUGGCCAAGCCAGGAGAGCUCGAGGAGGCAUCUCCCCUCAGCUGAGCUCUCCCUGCCAGCAGCCCCUGCUGCAAGCUCAAAAUCUGUUGGUUAAAUCUUUAUUGGAAGGUUGAUUUAGCAUCUUCAGUGAAAGAAAAGACAUAUUUCCUUGCAGUGGAGGCAGGCUACAGGCACAGACACAGGCACUCGCAGCAGCUCAGCUGAAGGGAGAUAACUUUUUAAGCUGUUUUAAUUCACCUGCCCCAAACUGCUGCAAGUGGUAGCAGCUGGGGAUGACACGGUCCGCAGCGAUGCUUGCAGGGCGAGUUGACAUCUGCAAAUCUUCUAAGACCUACAUAACACAAAACGCAAAGUCCCGCCGUACCAGCUCUGCCUGUCAUUUAUUAUUUGCUCCUUUGCCUGCAGCUCCUUUUGAAGCUUUAAAAGCUUUUGUUUUUGAUAGUAAAAGGAUAUUUGUGCCUUGCCUGUAGAAACGUCAGCCCUGUAUUGUUCAGUCCACAAUAAAAUAUGUGUUUCAGUUUGA